UACGUAGGGUGCAAGCGUUAAUCGGGAUUACUGGGCGUAAAGCGUGCGCAGGCGGUUUUGUAAGUCUGUCGUGAAAGCCCCGGGCUCAACCUGGGAAUUGCGAUGGAGACUGCAAGGCUUGAAUCUGGCAGAGGGGGGUAGAAUUCCACGUGUAGCAGUGAAAUGCGUAGAGAUGUGGAGGAACACCGAUGGCGAAGGCAGCCCCCUGGGUCAAGAUUGACGCUCAUGCACGAAAGCGUGGGGAGCAAACAGG
Molecule: ribosomal RNA, 253 nt
Filed under: uncultured bacterium
Lineage: Bacteria
Description: partial 16S ribosomal RNA
Rfam family: Bacterial small subunit ribosomal RNA
Source: RNAcentral